UACGUAGGGGGCAAGCGUUAUCCGGAUUUAUUGGGUGUAAAGGGCGUGUAGGCGGGAGCGCAAGUCAGAUGUGAAAACUCAGGGCUCAACCCUGAGCCUGCAUUUGAAACUGUGUUUCUUGAGUGCUGGAGAGGCAAUCGGAAUUCCGUGUGUAGCGGUGAAAUGCGUAGAUAUACGGAGGAACACCAGUGGCGAAGGCGGAUUGCUGGACAGUAACUGACGCUGAGGCGCGAAAGCGUGGGGAGCAA
This 248-nucleotide ribosomal RNA is filed under the name uncultured Ruminiclostridium sp. RNAcentral's name for it is "partial 16S ribosomal RNA". It matches the Rfam family "Bacterial small subunit ribosomal RNA", at positions 524 to 771 of the family's 1533-position model. Lineage: Bacteria; Bacillati; Bacillota; Clostridia; Eubacteriales; Oscillospiraceae. The record is from RNAcentral.